AGAGUUUGAUCCUGGCUCAGGACGAACGCUGGCGGCGUGCCUAACACAUGCAAGUCGAACGGAGUUAGUCGCAACAUCGAGCGCAUGGGAAAUAUGCGUUGGAUGUUGUGAUUAACUUAGUGGCGGACGGGUGAGUAACGCGUGAGUAACCUGCCUAACUGAGGGGGAUAACGUUUGGAAACAAACGCUAAUACCGCAUAAUACAAGAAGUUCGCAUGAAUUUCUUGUCAAAGGAGCAAUUCGCAGUUAGAUGGACUCGCGUCCGAUUAGCCAGUUGGCGGGGUAACGGCCCACCAAAGCGACGAUCGGUAGCCGGACUGAGAGGUUGAACGGCCACAUUGGGACUGAGACACGGCCCAGACUCCUACGGGAGGCAGCAGUGGGGAAUAUUGCACAAUGGGGGAAACCCUGAUGCAGCAACGCCGCGUGAGGGAAGAAGGUUUUCGGAUUGUAAACCUCUGUCCUAGGAGAAGAUAAAAGACGGUAACCUAGGAGGAAGCUCCGGCUAACUACGUGCCAGCAGCCGCGGUAAUACGUAGGGAGCGAGCGUUGUCCGGAAUUACUGGGUGUAAAGGGUGCGUAGGCGGCCAAACAAGUCAGACGUGAAAGGCAUAGGCUUAACCUGUGGAUUGCGUUUGAAACUGUAUGGCUUGAGUGGAAUAGAGGCAGGCGGAAUUCCCGGUGUAGCGGUGAAAUGCGUAGAGAUCGGGAGGAACACCAGUGGCGAAGGCGGCUUGCUGGGAUCUAACUGACGCUGAGGCACGAAAGUAUGGGUAGCAAACAGGAUUAGAUACCCUGGUAGUCCAUACUGUAAACGAUGAUUACUAGGUGUGGGAGAGUAGAACCCUUCCGUGCCGGAGUUAACACAAUAAGUAAUCCACCUGGGGAGUACGGUCGCAAGACUGAAACUCAAAGGAAUUGACGGGGGCCCGCACAAGCAGUGGAGUAUGUGGUUUAAUUCGAAGCAACGCGAAGAACCUUACCAGGUCUUGACAUCCAACUAACGAGGUAGAGAUACGUUAGGUGCCCUUCGGGGAAAGUUGAGACAGGUGGUGCAUGGUUGUCGUCAGCUCGUGUCGUGAGAUGUUGGGUUAAGUCCCGCAACGAGCGCAACCCUUACUGUUAGUUGCUACGAAAGAGCACUCUAGCAGGACUGCCGUUGACAAAACGGAGGAAGGUGGGGAUGACGUCAAAUCAUCAUGCCCCUUAUGACCUGGGCAACACACGUACUACAAUGGCCGUAAACAGAGGGAAGCAAAACAGUGAUGUGGAGCAAACCCCUAAAAACGGUCCCAGUUCGGAUUGUAGGCUGCAACUCGCCUACAUGAAGUCGGAAUUGCUAGUAAUCGCGAAUCAGAAUGUCGCGGUGAAUACGUUCCCGGGCCUUGUACACACCGCCCGUCACACCAUGGGAGCCGGUAAUACCCGAAGCCGAUAGUCCAACCGCAAGGAGGACGUCGUCGAAGGUAGGAUUGGCGACUGGGGUGAAGUCGUAACAAGGUAGCC
Molecule: ribosomal RNA, 1506 nt
Filed under: uncultured Oscillospiraceae bacterium
Lineage: Bacteria; Bacillati; Bacillota; Clostridia; Eubacteriales; Oscillospiraceae
Description: bacterial SSU rRNA
Rfam family: Bacterial small subunit ribosomal RNA
Source: RNAcentral